This 785-nucleotide unclassified non-coding RNA is filed under the name Hevea brasiliensis (rubber tree). Lineage: Eukaryota; Viridiplantae; Streptophyta; Magnoliopsida; Malpighiales; Euphorbiaceae. The record is from RNAcentral.
UGAAGAAGCUGGAUUGAGCUUGGUGGCAGCUCCAUAUUGGGAGGGUGUGAGUGUGGGGGGACUUAUUAGCACAGGAGCACAUGGAAGCUCAUGGUGGGGAAAAGGUGGAGCUGACCAUGAUCACGUCAUUGGCCUUAGUCUUGUAGUCCCUGCAAAGGAGUCUGAAGGGUAUGCAAAAAUUAUCAGAAUUGAAGCCCAAGAUCCUCUGCUUAAGGCAGCCAAAGUAUCUAUAGGAUUAUUGGGUGUCAUCUCCAAGGUGAAGUUGUCCCUGGAGCCUGCAUUCAAAAGAAGCAUAACAUACAAUUUCACGGAUGAUGCCCACAUAGAGGAUAUGUUCAUAGAUCAUGGGAAGAAAUAUGAAUUUGGCGAUAUUACUUGGUACCCAUCAAGGAAAACAGCAGUCUAUAGAUAUGAUUUCAGAGUUCCUCUCACUGCCUCCGGUAAUGGAGAAUUCGACUUUCUUGGAUUUCAAUCAAAUUCUAUUGUGGUAUCACAAUCAACUAGAGCAGCAGAGAAAUCGUUGGAGAAAGCAAAUAAUGUGAAUGGAAAGUGCUUAUUGGCAAUUUCUUUUGUGCGGUUUAAGAAGUUGGUAGCCAAUGGAUUGAAGAAUGGCCUAAUCUUUACUGGCUAUCCAGUAGUGGGUCAUCAGAGGAAAAUGCAGACUUCAGGUUCUUGUUUAUAUUCCCCUGCAACAAGAAUCGAUACCUCUUGUGCUUGGGAUCCAAGAAUUAAAGGGCUCUUCUUUUACGAAACAACUGCAAUAUUUCCUGCUUCAAAGUUUGGAG